Molecule: ribosomal RNA, 1609 nt
Filed under: Escherichia coli
Lineage: Bacteria; Pseudomonadati; Pseudomonadota; Gammaproteobacteria; Enterobacterales; Enterobacteriaceae
Description: partial 23S ribosomal RNA
Rfam family: Bacterial large subunit ribosomal RNA
Source: RNAcentral
AUAAUGGGUCAGCGACUUAUAUUCUGUAGCAAGGUUAACCGAAUAGGGGAGCCGAAGGGAAACCGAGUCUUAACUGGGCGUUAAGUUGCAGGGUAUAGACCCGAAACCCGGUGAUCUAGCCAUGGGCAGGUUGAAGGUUGGGUAACACUAACUGGAGGACCGAACCGACUAAUGUUGAAAAAUUAGCGGAUGACUUGUGGCUGGGGGUGAAAGGCCAAUCAAACCGGGAGAUAGCUGGUUCUCCCCGAAAGCUAUUUAGGUAGCGCCUCGUGAAUUCAUCUCCGGGGGUAGAGCACUGUUUCGGCAAGGGGGUCAUCCCGACUUACCAACCCGAUGCAAACUGCGAAUACCGGAGAAUGUUAUCACGGGAGACACACGGCGGGUGCUAACGUCCGUCGUGAAGAGGGAAACAACCCAGACCGCCAGCUAAGGUCCCAAAGUCAUGGUUAAGUGGGAAACGAUGUGGGAAGGCCCAGACAGCCAGGAUGUUGGCUUAGAAGCAGCCAUCAUUUAAAGAAAGCGUAAUAGCUCACUGGUCGAGUCGGCCUGCGCGGAAGAUGUAACGGGGCUAAACCAUGCACCGAAGCUGCGGCAGCGACACUAUGUGUUGUUGGGUAGGGGAGCGUUCUGUAAGCCUGUGAAGGUGUACUGUGAGGUAUGCUGGAGGUAUCAGAAGUGCGAAUGCUGACAUAAGUAACGAUAAAGCGGGUGAAAAGCCCGCUCGCCGGAAGACCAAGGGUUCCUGUCCAACGUUAAUCGGGGCAGGGUGAGUCGACCCCUAAGGCGAGGCCGAAAGGCGUAGUCGAUGGGAAACAGGUUAAUAUUCCUGUACUUGGUGUUACUGCGAAGGGGGGACGGAGAAGGCUAUGUUGGCCGGGCGACGGUUGUCCCGGUUUAAGCGUGUAGGCUGGUUUUCCAGGCAAAUCCGGAAAAUCAAGGCUGAGGCGUGAUGACGAGGCACUACGGUGCUGAAGCAACAAAUGCCCUGCUUCCAGGAAAAGCCUCUAAGCAUCAGGUAACAUCAAAUCGUACCCCAAACCGACACAGGUGGUCAGGUAGAGAAUACCAAGGCGCUUGAGAGAACUCGGGUGAAGGAACUAGGCAAAAUGGUGCCGUAACUUCGGGAGAAGGCACGCUGAUAUGUAGGUGAAGUCCCUCGCGGAUGGAGCUGAAAUCAGUCGAAGAUACCAGCUGGCUGCAACUGUUUAUUAAAAACACAGCACUGUGCAAACACGAAAGUGGACGUAUACGGUGUGACGCCUGCCCGGUGCCGGAAGGUUAAUUGAUGGGGUUAGCGCAAGCGAAGCUCUUGAUCGAAGCCCCGGUAAACGGCGGCCGUAACUAUAACGGUCCUAAGGUAGCGAAAUUCCUUGUCGGGUAAGUUCCGACCUGCACGAAUGGCGUAAUGAUGGCCAGGCUGUCUCCACCCGAGACUCAGUGAAAUUGAACUCGCUGUGAAGAUGCAGUGUACCCGCGGCAAGACGGAAAGACCCCGUGAACCUUUACUAUAGCUUGACACUGAACAUUGAGCCUUGAUGUGUAGGAUAGGUGGGAGGCUUUGAAGUGUGGACGCCAGUCUGCAUGGAGCCGACCUUGAAAUACCACCCUU